AGAGGCAAACGUACKCUAUGCAUGUCUCACCCUACUUUAUUUGAUACAAAAAGUCUGAUUUGAUGUCUCAAAGAUUUAUAGUUUAAAAGGCUUGGAAAAAAUAGAGUAUGAGGAACUUGGAUUUUUUUUUAAUGUAUUUUCAAACACAGAAUCAGCUUUAGUGGUACUCAGCAUCCAAAGCUGGAUUUCAGUCAUACGCCUCUCUCUGUUUAUCUGGAGAAAAAGGAGGUAUUUUCCCAUAAUCGUAUAUUGGCUUUGUCUGAACAUAGUCCCAGGGCUGCCACUUGCAAUGACGCAGGAUGGAACAGCUGCGUCCUGGGAAUUCGGCUCAAAGCGAAAGGAAGAGAUUCUGCCUGCUCAAACCGAAAGUGCUCCUCUGUCUCCUUUCUGCUGUAGACAACAGCCUUCCGCGAAAGGUGUCACUCCUGCUGCCCUCGUUAUCUUCCAAAAGAGUGGACUAAUUACUGAUGACACCCUACAAGGAAAGAUGUGUACUGAAAAGUGAUGCCCUGAUCUGCAGAAACGUUGCUGCACAAUUGACUGUAUUUGGACCAAAUAUAUUCUUGUCUGUGUGUUUCCAUGGUCAAGGAUUUAGAUUUUAAGCUAUACUGAAAGCAUCAUGCAUAAUUAAUUUUAAUAAUAAACACCUCUGACUUAAUUU
This 661-nucleotide long non-coding RNA is filed under the name Dromaius novaehollandiae (emu). RNAcentral describes it as "lncRNA (ENSDNVG00000011606.1)". The record is from RNAcentral. Lineage: Eukaryota; Metazoa; Chordata; Aves; Casuariiformes; Dromaiidae.